This 494-nucleotide ribosomal RNA is filed under the name uncultured bacterium. RNAcentral describes it as "partial 16S ribosomal RNA". It matches the Rfam family "Bacterial small subunit ribosomal RNA", at positions 28 to 507 of the family's 1533-position model. The record is from RNAcentral.
GACGAACGCUGGCGGCGUGCUUAACACAUGCAAGUCGAACGGUGAAGCGCCUUCCUUUUUGGUGGGUGUGGAUGAGUGGCGAACGGGUGAGUAACACGUGAGUAACCUGCCCCCUCCUUCUGGAUAACCGCAUGAAAGUGUGGCUAAUACGGGAUAUUCUGGGUCUGUCGCAUGAUGGGUCUGGGAAAGAUAUUGUUUCGGUGGGGGAUGGGCUCGCGGCCUAUCAGCUUGUUGGUGGGGUGAUGGCCUACCAAGGCGGUGACGGGUAGCCGGCCUGAGAGGGUGGACGGUCACACUGGGACUGAGACACGGCCCAGACUCCUACGGGAGGCAGCAGUGGGGACUAUUGCACAAUGGGCGCAAGCCUGAUGCAGCGACGCCGCGUGAGGGAUGGAGGCCUUCGGGUUGUGAACCUCUUUCGCCAGUGAAGCAGGCCUGCCUCGUUUGUGGGUGGGUUGACGGUAGCUGGAUAAGAAGCGCCGGCUAACUACGUG